CACGUAGGGCGCAAGCGUUGUCCGGAAUUAUUGGGCGUAAAGAGCUCGUAGGCGGUGUGUCACGUCGGCCGUGAAAACCUGCAGCUUAACUGUGGGCGUGCGGUCGAUACGGGCAUCACUGGAGUUCGGCAGGGGAGACUGGAAUUCCUGGUGUAGCGGUGAAAUGCGCAGAUAUCAGGAGGAACACCGGUGGCGAAGGCGGGUCUCUGGGCCGACACUGACGCUGAGGCGCGAAAGCUAGGGGAGCGAACGGG
This 254-nucleotide ribosomal RNA is filed under the name uncultured bacterium. RNAcentral's name for it is "partial 16S ribosomal RNA". It matches the Rfam family "Bacterial small subunit ribosomal RNA", at positions 524 to 776 of the family's 1533-position model. The record is from RNAcentral.